UCGACUGUUUAUCAAAAACAUAUUUAAUAGAUUUCAUUAUUAAUAAAACCUGCUCAAUGAUUUUUAAAUAGCCGCAGCUCAUACUGUGCUAAGGUAGCAUAAUCAUUUGUCUUUUAAUUGAAGACUAGAAUGAAAGGUUAAACAUUUAAAAUAUUUUAUUAUUAAUUAAUUUUAACUUAUUUUAAGUGUAAAAAAACUCUUAUAUAUAAGAAAGACGAUAAGACCCUAUUAAACUUUACUAAAGUUUAACUGGGGUAGUUAAUUAAUAAAGAUUUUAAUCUUAUUUUAUAUAAGAAUGACCUGACAUAAUCAAUUUUAUGAUCAAGUUACUAUAGGGAUAACAGCGCAAUAUUUUUCCAUAGCUCUUAUAUAAAAAUUUGAUUACGACCUCGAUGUUGAAUUAAUAAUUCUAAUAAAUGCAGUCAUUUAUAAAGAGAGUCUGUUCGACUCUUAAAUUAUUACAUGAUUUGAGUUCAGACCGGUGUAAACCAGGUCGGUUUCUAUCUU
Molecule: ribosomal RNA, 507 nt
Filed under: Cerbalus sp. SD516
Lineage: Eukaryota; Metazoa; Arthropoda; Arachnida; Araneae; Sparassidae
Description: partial 16S ribosomal RNA
Rfam family: Bacterial large subunit ribosomal RNA
Source: RNAcentral